RNAcentral lists this non-coding RNA (48 nucleotides) under Schistosoma mansoni. Lineage: Eukaryota; Metazoa; Platyhelminthes; Trematoda; Strigeidida; Schistosomatidae. The record is from RNAcentral.
AUCCAACUGUCGAGUCCAAAAUAGGACGAAACACGCGUCAAACUGGAU